GGCUGUGUGAACUCUCUUUAGCUAAAGCCAAGGAAAGAUUCUUUUGUUUCAUUUUUCUAGAGCCAGAGGAUUAGAGAUGUUGGGUGUGUUUAGCAGCGCCAUCGUUUCUCCGCCGGCCGAGCUGGUAGCGGCGGGGUGCCGGACGCCAUCUCCGAAGAUAACGGCUGAUGCGCUGGUGAAGCGCUUCCUCAACACCAACCCAUCCGCUGUGUCCUUACAGAUCGGAGACAACGCGCAGUUGGCCUACACCCACCACAGCGAGUCCAUGCUGCAACCCAGAUCAUUCGCAGUUAAAGAUGAUAUCUUCUGCUUGUUUGAGGGAGCACUUGACAACUUGGGAAGUCUCACGGUAUUUAGGUUCUAGUCUAAACAAGCGAUGAAGUGAUUGCUAGACCAUUAAGUUACAG
Molecule: unclassified non-coding RNA, 407 nt
Filed under: Hevea brasiliensis (rubber tree)
Lineage: Eukaryota; Viridiplantae; Streptophyta; Magnoliopsida; Malpighiales; Euphorbiaceae
Source: RNAcentral